GAUGAACGCUGGCGGCGUGCUUAACACAUGCAAGUCGAACGGGAAACCUUUUAUUGAAGCUUCGGCAGAUUUAGCUGGUUUCUAGUGGCGGACGGGUGAGUAACGCGUGGGUAACCUGCCUUAUACAGGGGGAUAACAGUCAGAAAUGGCUGCUAAUACCGCAUAAGCGCACAGAGCUGCAUGGCUCAGUGGGAAGAACUCCGGUGGUAUAAGAUGGACCCGCGUUGGAUUAGCUGGUUGGUGGGGUAACGGCCCACCAAGGCGACGAUGCAUAGCCGGCCGGGGAGGGUGACCCGCCGGAUUGGGAAUGAGGCACGGCCCCGACUCCUACGGGAGGCAGCAGAAGGGAGUAUUGCAGACUGAGGGAAAACCUGAUGAAGCGGCGCCGCGGGAAGGAAGAAGUAUCUCGGAAUGUACACUUCUAUCAGCAGGGAAGAUAAUGACGGUACCUGACUAAGAAGCACCGGCUAACUACGUG
Molecule: ribosomal RNA, 478 nt
Filed under: uncultured bacterium
Lineage: Bacteria
Description: partial 16S ribosomal RNA
Rfam family: Bacterial small subunit ribosomal RNA
Source: RNAcentral